Molecule: ribosomal RNA, 253 nt
Filed under: uncultured bacterium
Lineage: Bacteria
Description: partial 16S ribosomal RNA
Rfam family: Bacterial small subunit ribosomal RNA
Source: RNAcentral
UACGUAGGUGGCAAGCGUUGUCCGGAUUUACUGGGUGUAAAGGGCGUGCAGCCGGAGAGGCAAGUCAGAUGUGAAAUCCACGGGCUCAACUCGUGAACUGCAUUUGAAACUGUUUCCCUUGAGUGUCGGAGAGGUAAUCGGAAUUCCUUGUGUAGCGGUGAAAUGCGUAGAUAUAAGGAAGAACACCAGUGGCGAAGGCGGAUUACUGGACGAUAACUGACGGUGAGGCGCGAAAGCGUGGGGAGCAAACAGG